RNAcentral lists this ribosomal RNA (1234 nucleotides) under metagenome. RNAcentral describes it as "bacterial LSU rRNA". It matches the Rfam family "Bacterial large subunit ribosomal RNA", at positions 1564 to 2808 of the family's 2925-position model. The record is from RNAcentral.
UGAAUACGAGACGCUAAGGCGUCGAAGUAGUGUAUGUCAUACUUCCAAGAAAAGCUUGCACUGUCAUAGAUAAAAAACGCCUGUACCAUAACCGACACAGGUGGGUAGGUAGAGUAUACUAAGGGGCGCGAGAUAACUCUCUCUAAGGAACUCGGCAAAAUAACUCCGUAACUUCGGGAGAAGGAGUGCCUUAUUCGUAAGGUUGCAAUAACAAGAUCCAAGCAACUGUUUAUCAAAAACACAGGUCUCCGCUAAGUCGUAAGACGAUGUAUGGGGGCUGACGCCUGCCCAAUGCCAGAAGGUUAAAGAAGUUGGUUAGUAAUUGCGAAGCUGAUAACUGAAGCCCUGGUGAACGGCGGCCGUAACGAUAACGGUCCUAAGGUAGCGAAAUUCCUUGUCGGGUAAGUUCCGACCCGCACGAAAGGCGUAAUGAUUUGGAUACUGUCUCGGAGAGGGGCUCGGUGAAAUAGACUUGUCUGUGAAGAUGCGGACUACCUGCACCAGGACAGAAAGACCCUAUGAAGCUUUACUGUAACUUGAAAUUGAAAUUGGACUUUAUUCGCGCAGUAUAGGUGGGAGGCGUUGAUUAUAAUCUUGUGGGAUUAUUGGAGCCAUCAGUGAGAUACCACUCUUGUAAUGUUAGAUUUCUAGCUUUGAAUCAUUAUCUGGUCAAAGAACAGUUUCAGGCGGGCAGUUUGACUGGGGCGGUCGCCUCCUAAACGGUAACGGAGGCGUACAAAGGUUUCCUCUGAACGGUUAGAAAUCGUAUCUAGAGUGUAAAGGCAUAAGGAAGCUUGACUGUGAGACCUACAAGUCGAGCAGGGACGAAAGUCGGUCUUAGUGAUCUGACGGUACUGAGUGGAAAGGCCGUCACUCAACGGAUAAAAGUUACUCUAGGAUAACAGGCUGAUCUCCCCCAAGAGUUCACAUCGACGGGGAGGUUUGGCACCUCGAUGUCGGCUCAUCGCAUCCUGGGGCGGUAGUACGUCCCAAGGGUUGGGCUGUUCGCCCAUGAAAGCGGUACGCGAGCUGGGUUCAGAACGUCGUGAGACAGUUCGGUCCAUAUCCGGUGUAGGCGUUAGAAUAUUGAGAGGAGCCUUCUUUAGUACGAGAGGACCGAGAAGGACAUACCUCUGGUGUACCAGUUAUCGUGCCAACGGUAAACGCUGGGUAGCUAUGUAUGGAGUGGAUAACCGCUGAAAGCAUCUAACUGGGAAGCCCACCUCAAGAUAAG